GCCCCCAUCGUCUAGGGGACUAGGACGUAGCCCUUUCAAGGCUAAGACCGGGGUUCGAAUCCCCGUGGGGGCA
RNAcentral lists this transfer RNA (73 nucleotides) under Chloroflexota bacterium. RNAcentral's name for it is "Chloroflexi bacterium tRNA-Glu". It matches the Rfam family "tRNA". Rfam says of the family: Transfer RNA (tRNA) molecules are approximately 80 nucleotides in length. RNAcentral also lists the same sequence under 1 other name. The record is from RNAcentral. Lineage: Bacteria; Bacillati; Chloroflexota.